This 676-nucleotide long non-coding RNA is filed under the name Pan troglodytes (chimpanzee). RNAcentral describes it as "lincRNA". The record is from RNAcentral. Lineage: Eukaryota; Metazoa; Chordata; Mammalia; Primates; Hominidae.
AGAAAAGCCAAUAUGAGAAGCAAUUUGAUCAACAAUCACUCCCUACUGUUUGGAGUAACCACCCUCAUGACUUUCCAUGUGGGAGCUGACAUUUGAAGUAAAUUCUUAUCUCUAUUCAAAGCAUCUAAAUACAAAUGGUAUGUCCCUCCUAGCUGGCAAACAUGUAGGCCUCGCCUGGAUUUUCAGUUUCAACUAUUUUGGAAGAUGUCUGUUUCUUUGAAGUAUCCCUAAACUAUAUUUUGUGUCACCACAUAGCCUACAUUCUAAAGUUUAAAUUAAACUAACCCAAAUACAUCUUCCAAAUAUGGUGAAAUAUACCCCAAAAUGUUCUAGCCACUUUUGCAUGAUGUGGUAAUACAAAAUUAAAUUUACAAAAAUAUGCAGCUCUUUAUAAAUAUAUCAAUAUAAGUAUGAUAUAUUAAGCUAUAAAACAAAAAUACUAAAGUUAAAGCUGCCAAAAAUUUUGUAGUGAGGUCAGGAAUGGUGUUAUAUGCACUAGCAAGAAGUCUAAAAGGAAAAUUAAGAAAACAGUUCGAUUUACAAUGACAUCAAAAAAAAAAAAAAAAAAAAAAAAAAAAAAAAAAAAAAAACAUCAAAACAAUAAAAUGCUUAGGAAUAAAUUUAACCAAGGCAGCACAAGACUUGUGCACUAAAAGCUACAAAACAUUGCUGAAAG